UACGGAGGGAGCUAGCGUUGUUCGGAAUUACUGGGCGUAAAGCGCACGUAGGCGGCUAUUCAAGUCGGGGGUGAAAGCCCGGGGCUCAACCCCGGAACUGCCCUCGAAACUAGAUAGCUAGAAUCUUGGAGAGGCGAGUGGAAUUCCGAGUGUAGAGGUGAAAUUCGUAGAUAUUCGGAAGAACACCAGUGGCGAAGGCGGCCCGCUGGACAUGUAUUGACGCUGAGGUGCGAAAGCGUGGGGAGCAAACAGG
RNAcentral lists this ribosomal RNA (253 nucleotides) under uncultured bacterium. RNAcentral's name for it is "partial 16S ribosomal RNA". It matches the Rfam family "Bacterial small subunit ribosomal RNA", at positions 524 to 776 of the family's 1533-position model. The record is from RNAcentral.